This 253-nucleotide ribosomal RNA is filed under the name uncultured bacterium. RNAcentral's name for it is "partial 16S ribosomal RNA". It matches the Rfam family "Bacterial small subunit ribosomal RNA", at positions 524 to 776 of the family's 1533-position model. The record is from RNAcentral.
GACGAAGGGGGCUAGCGUUGUUCGGAAUUACUGGGCGUAAAGCGCGUGUAGGCGGUUGCCAAAGUCGGGUGUGAAAGCCUUGAGCUCAACUCAAGAAAUGCACUCGAUACUUGGUGACUAGAGGACCGGAGAGGAUAGUGGAAUUCCCAGUGUAGUGGUGAAAUACGUAGAGAUUGGGAAGAACACCAGUGGCGAAGGCGGCUAUCUGGCCUGUUCUUGACGCUGAGGCGCGAAAGCUAGGGUAGCAAACGGG